UUAAACAUUAAAUCUCAAUAAAAACAAAAACAAAAACAACAACAACAACAAGCAAAAUCAAUAGAAUCGUUAAAUAUUAAAUCGCAACAACAAUAAGAACAAAAACAAAAUCAAUAAUAUCGUUAAACAUUAAGUCUCAACACAAACAAUAAAAACAACAACAAGAAAAAACAAAAACAACAACAACAAGAAAAAAUAAAA
RNAcentral lists this long non-coding RNA (201 nucleotides) under Lathyrus oleraceus (garden pea). Its description in RNAcentral is "Pisum sativum (pea) long non-coding RNA (PSAT_LNC009039)". The record is from RNAcentral. Lineage: Eukaryota; Viridiplantae; Streptophyta; Magnoliopsida; Fabales; Fabaceae.